CACACACACACACACACACACACACACACACACACACACACACACACACACACACAGCAGUGGCUGACGGCAGACUGCCAGCGCUCGUGUGCCGCUGGUGCUGUUUUGUCAAAUGUUCACAAAGUGUCUUUUGGAAGUGUCCUUCCAGCCAGUUACAAGUUUAUACUUGUAACUCCAAAUGGUGCUUUCAUUCAUCACGAUAGCAGAGGCUUUCGUGUUGGAACAAUGUUCCUGAAAGACAUAAGUGAAAAUGUAAAUUUAUUGUGUUUAAUAAUUAACAACCGU
Molecule: non-coding RNA, 285 nt
Organism: Gasterosteus aculeatus aculeatus (three-spined stickleback)
Lineage: Eukaryota; Metazoa; Chordata; Actinopteri; Perciformes; Gasterosteidae
Source: RefSeq, a predicted model, not a curated record